GAUGAACGCUAGCUACAGGCUUAACACAUGCAAGUCGAGGGGCAGCACUAGGUAGCAAUACUGAGGUGGCGACCGGCGCACGGGUGCGUAACGCGUAUCCAACCUUCCCGUUACUCAGGGAUAGCCUUCCGAAAGGGAGAUUAAUACCUGAUGGUGUUCAAAUUCCGCAUGUUAUUUGAACUAAAGAUUUAUCGGUAACGGAUGGGGAUGCGUGACAUUAGGUAGAUGGCGGGUAACGGCCACAUGCCUACGAUGUCUAGGGGUUCUGAGAGGAAGGUCCCCCACACUGGAACUGAGACACGGUCCAAAACUCCUACGGGAGGCAGCAGUGAGGAAUAUUGGUCAAUGGACGAAAGUCUGAACCAGCCAAGUUCGCGUGAAGGAUGAAGGUUCUAUGGAUUGUAAAACUUCUUUUGUCUGAGGGUAAAAAAGCGGACGUGUCCGUUCUUGCAAGUAUCAGACGAAUAAGCAUCGGCUAACUCCGUGCCAGCAGCCGCGGU
This 500-nucleotide ribosomal RNA is filed under the name uncultured bacterium. RNAcentral's name for it is "bacterial SSU rRNA". It matches the Rfam family "Bacterial small subunit ribosomal RNA", at positions 28 to 521 of the family's 1533-position model. The record is from RNAcentral.